RNAcentral lists this non-coding RNA (24 nucleotides) under Mus musculus (house mouse). Lineage: Eukaryota; Metazoa; Chordata; Mammalia; Rodentia; Muridae. The record is from RNAcentral.
UGAAACCUUCGGGACAUGGGGUAC